Molecule: long non-coding RNA, 186 nt
Organism: Etheostoma spectabile (orangethroat darter)
Lineage: Eukaryota; Metazoa; Chordata; Actinopteri; Perciformes; Percidae
Exons: 3
Source: RefSeq, a predicted model, not a curated record
GGAGCCCAGAGGGCAGGGGGAGGGGUUAGACAGAGCCCAGAGUGCAGGGGGAGGGGUUAGACAGAGCCCAGAGUGCAGGGGGAGGGGUGAAAUGGAGUCCCAGGGGCAGGGGGACAGGUUAGACGGAGCCCAGAGGAGACGCUUCUAUAAAAUCUUGCUUGCUUUUCAACAUUACCAACCCUGUCU